UCACUACUUGCUUACUAUCCCAUUUUUCAUUAAGUUAGAAAGACACUUUCUUAACUGAAUAAUAGCUAGUUUGUUUCUUUUUGAUCAGAUUCAUAAAAACACACAGAAUGGACUGAAUCUGAAAUUGUACCAUCGAUGACAACAUCUGAGCAAACUGGAAAUCUCUGCAAGAAAUUUAUGAGCUACUUACUAUUCUUUCCAAUUUUUUAUCUGAUUCCUCUGCAGGUGAUAGAAGGUAUCCCAAGGAUAACACAAU
Oxyura jamaicensis (ruddy duck) is the source of this 256-nucleotide long non-coding RNA. RefSeq lists it as uncharacterized. NCBI's taxonomy places the organism in Eukaryota, Metazoa, Chordata, Aves, Anseriformes, Anatidae. The transcript is spliced from 2 exons. The record is from RefSeq and is a predicted model, not a curated record.